CAGCUACCCUAUAGUUGGCUGCCUGGCUUCAGAGCUUUUUUUGAACUUGGAAGACUUCAAGCCCCAACUGAGGAAUCCUUGAUGCUCUGUUGUUUUGUCUUGCUAAAAUGUACAAGAAACUUGCACAGCUCUGUCCUUCAGGCUUAAAAUCAUCCCAGGGAGGUCACUCUAAUUCCUUUUAAUGUGUGCUGAAGAAAGGGCAGCACAGCUGAAGCCUGAUUUAAAAUCUGAUCUUCUCCCUAAUGUCACAAGGACAUCCUGAGACAAUGGCUGAGGAGCUAUGCACCAGUACCCAGCUGGAUCCCUGAUACUUACAUUGGCAGAUGCAUUAUCAACAGAGACAUCGAUUUAGAGUGAAUUAAAGGAAUUACAAAGAUCAAGAUGAAUUCAGUGAAGCUUCCCAUAGGACUGUUCAAAGAUCUCCAGGCCUGCCAUUCAUGCAUUCAUGUGAGAGAGACACUUUGGGCCUAAGAAAUGAAGG
Molecule: long non-coding RNA, 481 nt
Filed under: Homo sapiens (human)
Lineage: Eukaryota; Metazoa; Chordata; Mammalia; Primates; Hominidae
Description: non-protein coding lnc-ACTRT1-2:1
Source: RNAcentral